This 491-nucleotide ribosomal RNA is filed under the name uncultured bacterium. RNAcentral's name for it is "bacterial SSU rRNA". It matches the Rfam family "Bacterial small subunit ribosomal RNA", at positions 29 to 505 of the family's 1533-position model. The record is from RNAcentral.
AACGAACGCUGGCGGCGUGCUUAACACAUGCAAGUCGAGCGAGAAAGGGAGCUUCGGCUCCUGAGUAAAGCGGCGCACGGGUGAGUAACACGUGGGUAACCUGCCUUUCAGUGGGGGAUAACAGUUCGAAAGGGCUGCUAAUACCGCAUUCGUCCACACGGUCACAUGUCUGUGUGGAGAAAGAGGCGCAAGUCUCGCUGGAAGAUGGGCCCCGNGGUCCAUUAGCUAGUUGGUGGGGUAAAGGCCUACCAAGGCUUCGAUGGAUAGCUGGUCUGAGAGGAUGAUCAGCCACACUGGGACUGAGACACGGCCCAGACUCCUACGGGAGGCAGCAGUGGGGAAUAUUGGACAAUGGGCGCAAGCCUGAUCCAGCAAUGCCGCGUGUGUGAAGAAGGCCUGCGGGUUGUAAAGCACUUUCAGUGGGAGAACAGAUUCGGGUCAAUACCCCGGAGCCCUGACGUUACCCACAGAAGAAGCACCGGCUAACUCCG